UAAACAUUGAUACAUUAUUACAUUUUCAAUCCGCCCGGGUACUACAAGCACUAGCUUAAAACCCAAAGGACUUGGCGGUGCUUAAGAUCCCCCUAGAGGAGCCUGUUCUAGAACCGAUAAUCCACGUUUAACCUCACCCUCCCUUGUUUUUUCCGCCUAUAUACCGCCGUCGUCAGCUUACCCUGUGAAGGUCUAACAGUGAGCAAAAAUGGCACAGCCCAGAACGUCAGGUCGAGGUGUAGCGCAUGAGAGGGGAAGAAAUGGGCUACAUUCUCUAAAAAUAGAAGCACACGGAUAAUAUAUUGAAACAUAUAUUUUAAGGAGGAUUUAGUAGUAAGUAGAAAUUAGAAUAUUCCACUGAAUUCGGCCCUAAAGCGCGC
Molecule: ribosomal RNA, 380 nt
Filed under: Betta renata
Lineage: Eukaryota; Metazoa; Chordata; Actinopteri; Anabantiformes; Osphronemidae
Description: partial 12S ribosomal RNA
Rfam family: Bacterial small subunit ribosomal RNA
Source: RNAcentral